AUUAGUUAGUUGGUGAGGUAGCGGCUCACCAAGACGAUGAUGCGUAGCCGGACUGAGAGGUUGAACGGCCACAUUGGGACUGAGAGACGGCCCAAACUCCUACGGGAGGCAGCAGUAGGGAAUUUUCGGCAAUGGGGGAAACCCUGACCGAGCAACGCCGCGUGAAUGACGAAGUACUUCGGUAUGUAAAGUUCUUUUAUUGGGGAAGAAUGGUACGUGGAAAAACGUACGUGACGGUACCUAAUGAAUAAGCCCCGGCUAACUAUGUGCCAGCAGCCGCGGUAAUACAUAGGGGGCAAGCGUUAUCCGGAAUUAUUGGGCGUAAAGGGUGCGUAGGUGGCCAUUUAAGUCUUUGGUGUAAGUGCAGUGCUCAACGCUGUGAUGCUAAAGAAACUGGGUGGCUUGAGUGUGGUAGAGGCAAGUGGAAUUCCAUGUGUAGCGGUAAAAUGCGUAAAUAUAUGGAGGAACACCAGUGGCGAAGGCGGCUUGCUGGGCCAUAACUGACACUGAGGCACGAAAGCGUGGGGAGCAAACAGGAUUAGAUACCCUGGUAGUCCACGCCGUAAAC
This 568-nucleotide ribosomal RNA is filed under the name uncultured bacterium. RNAcentral describes it as "bacterial SSU rRNA". It matches the Rfam family "Bacterial small subunit ribosomal RNA", at positions 240 to 807 of the family's 1533-position model. The record is from RNAcentral.